RNAcentral lists this long non-coding RNA (1452 nucleotides) under Heterocephalus glaber (naked mole-rat). RNAcentral's name for it is "lncRNA (ENSHGLG00000037085.1)". The record is from RNAcentral. Lineage: Eukaryota; Metazoa; Chordata; Mammalia; Rodentia; Bathyergidae.
AGAAAAUUUGACUCUGGCUCUUCAGGGCUACCUGCCCUCCCCAUGUCCACACUGUCACUGACCCCCAAAGAAGAAUGAUCCUGGGUUUUGUUUGGUGAUUUUCAUUCUUCCACCUGAAUGACAUCCCCAUGCCCUGGCUGCCUGUGUGGGAUGUGUACCUGAGCCCCCUCUGGGGCAUGUGUAAGUCUCCAGCCUGGAAUUGCGGUGAAGCCGAAAGCUAUUCUGAGAUGUUCUGUACCCUCACAGCUAUUUCAGGCUCUAGGACUUUCUGCCCAUGUCUCAGCCGCAACUUCCAAGACUGGUCCUUUUAUGUUCCUUACAACCUCAGAUCCAAAAUAGCUCCAACCUGGAGGUGGUGACUGGCAGUAGCAUAGAGGGAGCAGAGAUGUUCAUGGGCCCCUGGCCUGGAGCUAGGCCUGGGGUUUGAGACUGAGCUCCAGAGAGGCAGCCGGGGCUCCACCCCACCCACAAACAGGCAGGCUUUGGGGGAGGGGGAUGCCCCAUGUGGAUCAGUAGCAGCUUGCAGAGCUGGCCUGAUUUCUGCCUGCUGAGCUUUCACUUACGUACCUCUUUCAGGGCUGGCAGUCACUGAUUCAUUCCACAAACAGUUUUGAGUGCCUACUGGAUGGCAGCCACUGUUCCAGAUUCUGGAAGAACAACUGGCAAAAAGAGACAAAAAUCCCUGCUCUUGUGGAGCUUACAUGUAACAAAAAUCAUAUAACUAACUUGCAGAGGUCUUUACAGUUUGCAGAGUGUUUCCCCGUACUUUUUUUUUCAUAGAAAAUCCUACUGUAAGCUCUGCUAACACAGCAUGUGCUGUUUUCUACUUGCCUGUUCUCAUUUAAUAUUUCCAGAAAUCCUCUGAGUUACACACUCCUCUAUUUCACUGAGAAGAGGACACAGACUCCAGAAGACCAGCAUAUGUGUGAGGUCCACAUGGUCAGGAAGUGGCAAAGCAGGAAUAUGAACCUAGUACAGCUCAAUUGAUCUCACCAAAAACAGCGAUCUGAUCAAGUCAUCAUGCCAUAAGACCUUCAGGGUCUCCAUCCUCUGGUCACAGCAUACUCUCGAGCUCCUCUUCACCUUCUGCUCUACCAGAUACCCACAUGCCGGCAGUGGGUGAGCAGAGGGCCACACUGCCAUUCUCACUGAGAUAGCUGUUUGUUGUGGAGGACUGUCCUAUGCAUAUAUUCCACCAAAAAAAAUGUAUACACACUUCAGGAAAAGAAAAAUGGCAUGAUGUUUUUCUACAGAUAUCAUUGCCUUUGCCUGAGGACCCCUAGAGGAUGUCAUAUAUCACAGAAAGGCCACUACACUGCCAGCCCUUCGAGAAGAAAUUGAAAAUGCACGUGCAGCCAUCUCAAUGACCAAGGUUACCCAAGCAGUGGUUCACCAUACUAAUAAAUGUCUGGAAGCUAAUACCACCACUUUGAGCACCUCUUGUAAUUGUAG